Molecule: long non-coding RNA, 328 nt
Organism: Arabidopsis thaliana (thale cress)
Lineage: Eukaryota; Viridiplantae; Streptophyta; Magnoliopsida; Brassicales; Brassicaceae
Product: other RNA
Exons: 1
Source: RefSeq
AGUUGUUGUUUUAAAGAUGCUUAUCUUUUAGAACUUUGAAUGUGUUGUGAUUUUAAGAUGUUUAGAACUUUAAUGUUUUGUGAUUUUUAGAACUCAUGUUUUGUAAUAUGUAUGAGACUUCAAGUAACAAGUAGCUUGCAAGUAACAAGCCAACAGGCCGGGUCAAGUUACUUGCAAGUAACAAAAUUUUGGACGAGAACUAGUUCUAGCAAGUACUUGCUCAAACGAGUCAAGUAUCAAGCUCAAAUGUCAAUUACUCGUAAGAGUCAAGGCGGGUCACAAGUACUUGUAAAAUAGCAAGUACUUGCCUUGUGCCCAGGCCUAGUAG